AUCUCUUCUCGGCCUUUUGGCUAAGAUCAAGUGUAUUAUCUGCUCUUAUCAGUUUAAUAUCUGAUACGUCUCCUAUCCGGGGACCAUAUAUUAAAUAGAUUUUUGGAAAAAGGAGAUGGAAUAGGAGCCUGCUCUGUCCACUCCACGCAUCAACCUGAUAUUGCAGUAUUUCCAGGAACGGUGCACUUCCU
Small nuclear RNA from Pygocentrus nattereri (red-bellied piranha), 191 nucleotides. Its record names the gene U2. It matches the Rfam family "U2 spliceosomal RNA". Rfam says of the family: U2 is a small nuclear RNA (snRNA) component of the spliceosome (involved in pre-mRNA splicing). Complementary binding between U2 snRNA (in an area lying towards the 5' end but 3' to hairpin I) and the branchpoint sequence (BPS) of the intron results the bulging out of an unpaired adenosine, on the BPS, which initiates a nucleophilic attack at the intronic 5' splice site, thus starting the first of two transesterification reactions that mediate splicing. NCBI's taxonomy places the organism in Eukaryota, Metazoa, Chordata, Actinopteri, Characiformes, Serrasalmidae. The record is from Ensembl.